This is a long non-coding RNA of Leguminivora glycinivorella, 1199 nucleotides long. RefSeq lists it as uncharacterized. The transcript has 3 exons. The record is from RefSeq and is a predicted model, not a curated record. Lineage: Eukaryota; Metazoa; Arthropoda; Insecta; Lepidoptera; Tortricidae.
UAUACGGGAUCACUAUCUCUGCCUGCGGCGUCGAGAAGUAGUAACAGGUCUCCAUUAGUUGUCAUUGAGACGCGGACGACCUUCAUAGUGAAGCAUAAAAUGCAAUUGAAGAUCUAAGCGAUGAAGUCUUAACCUCUCGGUGAGGCACUUGAGCAGGUUGUUUUUUGGCAAAAACCUUUUUUCCAGCUUACAAAGAGAUAAAUAAAGAAAAGAAAGGACAAGUCAACUAAGAAACAUCCUGCUCCAGAAGUUACAAAGUAUAAAGCCAUAGAACAGAAAUAAUCUGAAGUCUCAAGCGCAUUAUUUGCCACUGGCUUGGCCCUCAUAACAUUUGCUGAAUGAAUUGGUCAUCUUUUGUGAGACGCAGGGAGUUACAACUUAAAAGGAUGUUUAUAACGUCGGGUCUUUACAAUAAAAUGGGAAGAUCUGAAGAGACCUAGAAGAUAUAACCUAGUAGAAGAUACAACUUCAAGGGCCCAACCAAUAACACAGAGACAUACCCAGAGCCCAAGGUCAGAAGCUGUACCACAGGAGACCCUAACAACACCACCUCUUCUGCCAAGCCACACCAUCAGCGGACGUGUCGCACUCAGCAAUAUUACUAUUACAAUAGCUGUUAAAUGAUCAGCAACCAGCAAUUUCAGCGACGUGUUAUCCUGGUUGCCGCGGGGCUCUCCGGGCAGCGCUGGCGCUGAAGGGGGCGGCGGCGGUGACGUCAUGCUGCAGUCCCUCGCGCCCAACACCGUCAAGCAGUAUCACACGUACUUGACACGCUGGUAUAAUAUACCAGCAUAUUACAUAUUAAAUAUUAUGUAAUGUUUUGUGGAAAAUAAUAUUAAUUGUUUUAAGACAUCUAUUCCACAAAUACUAGGUUUUGACAAAUUGUGUAACGAGGUAGCUGGCUAGCUGGGUAUGAAAGUGUCAAUUGUUGCACAUCUGCUUUGGUGCUUUUAUUGAGAGAAAAGAUCUCAUCAGAUGAUAACGUGAAACGCUUUAUGAAGGUGCGUUUUUUCGUAUAUAUCCACCAUAACCUAAAUAUCGAGACGUAAUUAGUUUUAAACAAUUUGUCAACGUUGUCAACAAGUGUGUGAAAUAUCCGAGUAAAAAAUUAGUCACCCUAUUAGCAAUUGUUACAGCACACGGAGUGCAAAAAUUUGUACUUGAUAAAGUUAUGUAAUACUAUUUACCAUUAUCCUGAA